GAUGAAGAACGCAGCGAAAUGCGAUACGUAAUGUGAAUUGCAAAUUCAGUGAAUCAUCGAGUCUUUGAACGCACAUUACGCCCCCUGGUAUUCCGGGGGGCAUGCCUGUCCGAGCGUCAUUGCUGCCCUCAAGCACGGCUUGUGUGUUGGGCCCCGUCCUCCGAUCCCGGGGGACGGGCCCGAAAGGCAGCGGCGGCACCGCGUCCGGUCCUCGAGCGUAUGGGGCUUUGUCACCCGCUCUGUAGGCCCGGCCGGCGCUUGCCGAUCAACCCAAAUUUUUAUCCAGGUUGACCUCGGAUCAGGUAGGGAUACCCGCUGAACUUAAGCAUAUCAAUAAGCGGAGGA
RNAcentral lists this unclassified non-coding RNA (345 nucleotides) under soil metagenome. RNAcentral describes it as "partial contains 5.8S ribosomal RNA, internal transcribed spacer 2, and large subunit ribosomal RNA". The stretch from base 1 to 119 matches the Rfam family "5.8S ribosomal RNA", at positions 35 to 154 of the family's 154-position model. The record is from RNAcentral.